GGAUUCGCUGGCACAAAUUAAUAGAAAAGAGGUAGAGUGGAUCUACCAGCUAGGGACCCUACAACCAGGUGGGCUGAACAUAGAAUUUGAUUUGAAACCAUGCAUAUUGUAAAGUACCUCGUUUUGGUAAUGGUAUUUGGG
Long non-coding RNA from Bufo bufo (common toad), 141 nucleotides. RefSeq lists it as uncharacterized. The transcript has 4 exons. The record is from RefSeq and is a predicted model, not a curated record. NCBI's taxonomy places the organism in Eukaryota, Metazoa, Chordata, Amphibia, Anura, Bufonidae.